CAAAAGGUAUAAAAAGUCCCUUUCUAUUCUCAGGGAAGCUGCAGCCUUGAGGGACCAGGGAAGAGGUGGCAUGAUUCAAGGCAGGGACCACAAUGUGGUUGGCUUCCUCAAAGCAAAGGCCUGAGUCAGCCAGGCUCAGGCGACACCCUGCAUUGGCACCCGCUCAGUGUUGUCUUGUUGAGCAGCCUGAAGAAUACAGAUGAGCCACCUGCCCAUGUGGGCUCUAUCCUCACUUGCUUGACGGUGCCCACUUCCUUGGCGAGGUCUUCCCAGCAGAGGCUUUCUAAGUGGGACCUCUGGGUUGAGUCUUUCUAUGAGCUAGCACCAUGGAAUAGAUGGGGGCGAGGAACGGUGCAGCAGCAGGGUUCCAGGUAGAGGAGACAGCAGCAGAUAGGGCAUAGAGGAGGUGGGGGACAAGG
RNAcentral lists this long non-coding RNA (419 nucleotides) under Homo sapiens (human). RNAcentral's name for it is "HSALNT0207930". Lineage: Eukaryota; Metazoa; Chordata; Mammalia; Primates; Hominidae. The record is from RNAcentral.